AAUUAUAAAAAUCUGGCUAGCUAUUCUCGAAACGUUCGAAGCCGUACGAACUUCUUAAGCUUAUUUUUACACAUUGGCUACGAUCAAAGUUAAGAAUUCUUAGGGCUACAAACGUUUCAAGAAUAAGGGCCC
Long non-coding RNA from Haliotis rubra (blacklip abalone), 132 nucleotides. RefSeq lists it as uncharacterized. Lineage: Eukaryota; Metazoa; Mollusca; Gastropoda; Lepetellida; Haliotidae. The transcript has 3 exons. The record is from RefSeq and is a predicted model, not a curated record.